This 428-nucleotide ribosomal RNA is filed under the name uncultured bacterium. RNAcentral's name for it is "bacterial SSU rRNA". It matches the Rfam family "Bacterial small subunit ribosomal RNA", at positions 355 to 775 of the family's 1533-position model. The record is from RNAcentral.
UGAGGAAUCUUGCGCAAUGGGCGAAAGCCUGACGCAGCGACGCCGCGUGGAGGAUGAAGGUUUUCGGAUUGUAAACUCCUGUUGAGUGGGAAGAAAUGCCUAUUGCUAAUACCAAUAGGAGAUGACUGUACCAUUAAAGAAAGCACCGGCUAACUACGUGCCAGCAGCCGCGGUAAUACGUAGGGUGCUAGCGUUAUUCGGAAUUACUGGGCGUACAGGGUGUGUAGGCGGCUUGUUAAGUCGAUUGUUUAAUGUCCCGGCCUAACUGGGAAGAUGCGGUCGAAACUGGCGAGCUUGAGGAUGGGAGAGAGAAGUGGAAUUCUCGGAGUAGCGGUAAAAUGCGUAGAUAUCGAGAGGAACACCAAUGGCGAAGGCAGCUUCUUGGCCCAUUUCUGACGCUGAGGCACGAAAGCGUGGGGAGCAAACAG